RNAcentral lists this ribosomal RNA (440 nucleotides) under uncultured bacterium. RNAcentral's name for it is "partial 16S ribosomal RNA". It matches the Rfam family "Bacterial small subunit ribosomal RNA", at positions 338 to 795 of the family's 1533-position model. The record is from RNAcentral.
CCUACGGGCGGCAGCAGUGGGGAAUAUUGCACAAUGGGGGGAACCCUGAUGCAGCAACGCCGCGUGGGUGAAGAAGUACUUCGGUAUGUAAAGCCCUGUUAGCAGGGAAGAAAAUGACGGUACCUGACCAAGAAGCCCCGGCUAACUACGUGCCAGCAGCCGCGGUAAUACGUAGGGGGCAACAGUUAUCCGGAUUGACUGGGGGUAAAGGGAGCGUAGACGGCAAGGCAAGGCUGGAGGGAAAGCCCGUGGCCCAACCCCGGGGCUGCUGUGGAAACUGUGUUGCUUGAGUGCAGGAGGGGUAAGCGGAAUGCCUAGUGUAGCGGUGAAAUGCGUAGAUAUUAGGAGGAACACCAGUGGCGAAGGCGGCUUACUGGACUGUAACUGACGUUGAGGCUCGAAAGCGUGGGGAGCAAACAGGAUUAGAUACCCCUGUAGUC